UCAAAAAUAAUUAAUAAUUAAAUAUUUUCUCAACGUAAGUGAGAUACAUUACUUUAUGUUAAUUCUUG
Molecule: transfer RNA, 68 nt
Filed under: Enteroctopus dofleini (giant Pacific octopus)
Lineage: Eukaryota; Metazoa; Mollusca; Cephalopoda; Octopoda; Octopodidae
Description: tRNA-Val
Source: RNAcentral